Molecule: ribosomal RNA, 253 nt
Filed under: uncultured bacterium
Lineage: Bacteria
Description: partial 16S ribosomal RNA
Rfam family: Bacterial small subunit ribosomal RNA
Source: RNAcentral
GACGUAGGGCGCGAGCGUUGUCCGGAUUUAUUGGGCGUAAAGAGCUCGUAGGCGGCUUGUCGCGUCGUCCGUGAAAACCUGGGGCUCAACCCCAGGCUUGCGGUCGAUACGGGCAGGCUAGAGUUCGGUAGGGGAGACUGGAAUUCCUGGUGUAGCGGUGAAAUGCGCAGAUAUCAGGAGGAACACCGGUGGCGAAGGCGGGUCUCUGGGCCGAUACUGACGCUGAGGAGCGAAAGCCAGGGGAGCAAACGGG